Molecule: long non-coding RNA, 521 nt
Filed under: Phoenix dactylifera (date palm)
Lineage: Eukaryota; Viridiplantae; Streptophyta; Magnoliopsida; Arecales; Arecaceae
Description: long non-coding RNA (PDAC_LNC012791)
Source: RNAcentral
UUUAAAAGUUUUCUUGUUAAGAGCGGUGGAAGCUUUCUUAAGUUACUUGUGUGAACUUACCCUAGAGCAAGAAUCAAAUAUAAAGCAAGAAUAAAUACGAGAACAAGCAUAACACAAACAAGACAAUGUAUAGUGGUUCGGUAUACCUCAAGCACCUACGUCCACUCCUCAAGCCUUUUCUUGGGAAUUCACAAUAAUCCCUCGGAUUACAGUUGGAUUGUUUUCCGGGCUCACAAUCCAAAAACCUUUACACUUUGGUUUUUCGGGAUCACCAAAAACCUAUGUUGGUUUUACGGGCUCACCAACAAACCUUCACAAUUGGUUUUACAGGUUCAAUAACAACCUACGUUGGUUUUACGGGCUUACCAACAACCUACGUUGGUUUUACGGGCUCACCAACGAACCUUCACAAUUGGUUUUACGGGUUCAUCAACAACCUACGUUGGUUUUACGGGCUUACCAACAACCUACAUUGGUUUUACGGACUUACCAACAACCUACGUUGGUUUUACGGGCUUACC